RNAcentral lists this ribosomal RNA (855 nucleotides) under uncultured bacterium. RNAcentral's name for it is "bacterial SSU rRNA". It matches the Rfam family "Bacterial small subunit ribosomal RNA", at positions 8 to 853 of the family's 1533-position model. The record is from RNAcentral.
AGAGUUUGAUCAUGGCUCAGAUUGCACGCUGGCGGCAGGCCUUAACACAUGCAAGUCGAACGGUAACAGGAGAAAGCUUGCUUUCUUGCUGACGAGUGGCGGACGGGUGAGUAAUGCUUGGGAAUCUGGCUUAUGGAGGGGGAUAACUACGGGAAACUGUAGCUAAUACCGCGUAAUAUCUUCGGAUUAAAGGGUGGGACUUUCGGGCCACCUGCCAUAAGAUGAGCCCAAGUGGGAUUAGGUAGUUGGUGGGGUAAGGGCCUACCAAGCCGACGAUCUCUAGCUGGUCUGAGAGGAUGACCAGCCACACUGGAACUGAGACACGGUCCAGACUCCUACGGGAGGCAGCAGUGGGGAAUAUUGCACAAUGGGGGGAACCCUGAUGCAGCCAUGCCGCGUGAAUGAAGAAGGCCUUCGGGUUGUAAAGUUCUUUCGGUGAUGAGGAAGGCGGUUGUUUUAAUAGAACAAUCGAUUGACGUUAGUCACAGAAGAAGCACCGGCUAACUCCGUGCCAGCAGCCGCGGUAAUACGGAGGGUGCGAGCGUUAAUCGGAAUGACUGGGCGUAAAGGGCACGCAGGCGGUGACUUAAGUGAGAUGUGAAAGCCCCGGGCUUAACCUGGGAAUUGCAUUUCAUACUGGGUCGCUAGAGUAUUUUAGGGAGGGGUAGAAUUCCACGUGUAGCGGUGAAAUGCGUAGAGAUGUGGAGGAAUACCGAAGGCGAAGGCAGCCCCUUGGGAAUAUACUGACGCUCAUGUGCGAAAGCGUGGGGAGCAAACAGGAUUAGAUACCCUGGUAGUCCACGCUGUAAACGCUGUCGAUUUGGGGAUUGGGCUUUAAGCUUGGUGCCCGUAGCU